This 253-nucleotide ribosomal RNA is filed under the name uncultured bacterium. Its description in RNAcentral is "partial 16S ribosomal RNA". It matches the Rfam family "Bacterial small subunit ribosomal RNA", at positions 524 to 776 of the family's 1533-position model. The record is from RNAcentral.
UACGAAGGGGGCUAGCGUUGCUCGGAAUCACUGGGCGUAAAGCGCACGUAGGCGGCUUGCUAAGUCAGGGGUGAAAUCCUGGAGCUCAACUCCAGAACUGCCUUUGAUACUGGCGACCUUGAGUCCGGGAGAGGUGAGUGGAACUGCGAGUGUAGAGGUGAAAUUCGUAGAUAUUCGCAAGAACACCGGUGGCGAAGGCGGCCUUCUGGACGGUGACUGACGCUGAGACGCGAAAGCGUGGGGAGCAAACAGG